RNAcentral lists this ribosomal RNA (467 nucleotides) under uncultured bacterium. Its description in RNAcentral is "partial 16S ribosomal RNA". It matches the Rfam family "Bacterial small subunit ribosomal RNA", at positions 28 to 507 of the family's 1533-position model. The record is from RNAcentral.
GACGAACGCUGGCGGCGUGCUUAACACAUGCAAGUCGAACGGAAAGGCCCUGCUUUUGUGGGGUGCUCGAGUGGCGAACGGGUGAGUAACACGUGAGUAACCUGCCCUUGACUUUGGGAUAACUUCAGGAAACUGGGGCUAAUACCGGAUAGGAGCUCCUGCUGCAUGGUGGGGGUUGGAAAGUUUCGGCGGUUGGGGAUGGACUCGCGGCUUAUCAGCUUGUUGGUGGGGUAGUGGCUUACCAAGGCUUUGACGGGUAGCCGGCCUGAGAGGGUGACCGGCACCAUGGGGACUGAGAUACGGCCCAGACUCCAACGGGAGGAAGCGGUGGGAAAUAUUGCACAAUGGGCGAAGCCUGAUGCAGCAACGCCGCGUGCGGGAUGACGGCCUUCGGGUUGUAAACCGCUUUCGCCUGUGACGAAGCGUGAGUGACGGUAAUGGGUAAAGAAGCACCGGCUAACUACGUG